AACAUCGCGCACCUGCGGGAACCUGCGGAAGGAUCAUUACAGAGUUGCAAGACUCCCUAAACCAUUGUGAACCUACCUUCUACCGUUGCUUCGGCGGGCGGGCCCAGCGCCCCCCCGGCCCCCCGCGGGCGCCCGCCGGAGGAUACCCAAACUCUUGACAUUAGUGGCCUCUCUGAGUAUUCUUUACUGAAUAAGUCAAAACUUUCAACAAUGGAUCU
This 218-nucleotide unclassified non-coding RNA is filed under the name soil metagenome. Its description in RNAcentral is "partial contains 5.8S ribosomal RNA, internal transcribed spacer 2, and large subunit ribosomal RNA". The record is from RNAcentral.